GAUGAACGCUGGCGGCGUGCCUAAUACAUGCAAGUCGAGCGAACAGUCGAGGAGCUUACUCCUCUGACGUUAGCGGCGGACGGGUGAGUAACACGUGGAUAACCUACCUAUAAGACUGGGAUAACUUCGGGAAACCGGAGCUAAUACCGGAUAACAUGUUGAACCGCAUGGUUCAACAGUGAAAGACGGUCUUGCUGUCACUUAUAGAUGGAUCCGCGUCGCAUUAGCUAGUUGGUAAGGUAACGGCUUACCAAGGCAACGAUGCGUAGCCGACCUGAGAGGGUGAUCGGCCACACUGGAACUGAGACACGGUCCAGACUCCUACGGGAGGCAGCAGUAGGGAAUCUUCCGCAAUGGGCGAAAGCCUGACGGAGCAACGCCGCGUGAGUGAAGAAGGUCUUCGGAUCGUAAAACUCUGUUAUUAGGGAAGAACAAAUGUGUAAGUAACUAUGCACGUCUUGACGGUACCUAAUCAGAAAGCCACGGCUAACUACGUG
Molecule: ribosomal RNA, 497 nt
Filed under: uncultured bacterium
Lineage: Bacteria
Description: partial 16S ribosomal RNA
Rfam family: Bacterial small subunit ribosomal RNA
Source: RNAcentral